This 237-nucleotide ribosomal RNA is filed under the name uncultured bacterium. Its description in RNAcentral is "partial 16S ribosomal RNA". It matches the Rfam family "Bacterial small subunit ribosomal RNA", at positions 118 to 351 of the family's 1533-position model. The record is from RNAcentral.
UGAGUAACCUGCCCUUAACUCUGGGAUAAGCCUGGGAAACUGGGUCUAAUACCGGAUAUGACUCCUCAUCGCAUGGUGGGGGGUGGAAAGCUUUAUUGUGGUUUUGGAUGGACUCGCGGCCUAUCAGCUUGUUGGUGAGGUAAUAGCUCACCAAGGCGAUGACGGGUAGCCGGCCUGAGAGGGUGACCGGCCACACUGGGACUGAGACACGGCCCAGACCUCCGUACGGGGAGGCAG